UGUAAACGUAGCACGUGUGUACUAUUGUUCAAAACAGGAAGAAGGAAUCAAAGAACACAAACGCGGCAUUAAACAAUAUAUAGACUUAUAUGACAAUAUGCAUCUAAUAUGCGAUAUAUUGAGGUUAUUUAAUGUGGAAAUUAUAUAAGCCACUAAUUAAAAUUUCGUGUUACUACCAGCUUUUAAGGUAAUUCAUUUAUAUUGUAUCGACUUUGAUAUCGAAAUCACGGUUCUAUUCUGAUGAAAUUUGAAAAUAUGGUGAAUCAUUUACAAUACACGAUGUACGGGGUCGUCAUUGGAAAAUUGUAGCUAUUUCGUAACAAGUGGGCUGAAUAAAGUAAAUUAAUAACUGUCAUAGAAAGAAUUCAUCAUUUUUAUCACAAUCAAUAAUUAAGAGCGGCG
Molecule: long non-coding RNA, 402 nt
Organism: Harpegnathos saltator (Jerdon's jumping ant)
Lineage: Eukaryota; Metazoa; Arthropoda; Insecta; Hymenoptera; Formicidae
Exons: 3
Source: RefSeq, a predicted model, not a curated record